This 366-nucleotide ribosomal RNA is filed under the name uncultured bacterium. RNAcentral describes it as "bacterial SSU rRNA". It matches the Rfam family "Bacterial small subunit ribosomal RNA", at positions 572 to 933 of the family's 1533-position model. The record is from RNAcentral.
UAGGUGGUGUCUUAAGUAGCUAGUGAAAUCUGGUGGCUCAACCAUUCAGACUGUUAGCUAAACUGGGAUACUCGAGAGCGUCAGGGGUAACUGGAAUUUCUAGUGUAGGGUUGAAAUCCGUAGAUAUUAGAAGGAACACCGAUAGCGUAGGCAGGUUACUGGGGCGUUUCUGACACUAAGGCACGAAAGCGUAGGGAGCAAACGGGAUUAGAUACCCCGGUAGUCUACGCCGUAAACGAUGGAUGCUAGCUGUGGGGGGUAUCGACCCCUUCCGUAGCGAAGCUAACGCGUUAAGCAUCCCACCUGUGUAGUACGAUCGCAAGAUUAAAAACAUAAAGGAAUUGACGGGGAACCCNCACANGCGGU